RNAcentral lists this ribosomal RNA (140 nucleotides) under uncultured bacterium. Its description in RNAcentral is "partial 16S ribosomal RNA". It matches the Rfam family "Bacterial small subunit ribosomal RNA", at positions 390 to 523 of the family's 1533-position model. The record is from RNAcentral.
AGCACGCCGCGUGUGUGAUGAAGGGUUUCGGCUCGUAAAACACUGUUGUAAGAGAAGAAUGACAUUGAGAGUAACUGUUCAAUGUGUGACGGUAUCUUACCAGAAAGGAACGGCUAAAUACGUGCCAGCAGCCGCGGUAA